RNAcentral lists this long non-coding RNA (339 nucleotides) under Gossypium raimondii (Peruvian cotton). Its description in RNAcentral is "long non-coding RNA (GRAI_LNC001920)". Lineage: Eukaryota; Viridiplantae; Streptophyta; Magnoliopsida; Malvales; Malvaceae. The record is from RNAcentral.
GAGAGGAGCUGCUGCGGCGCUGGAGGCAUUCUGGAAACCCUAGGGGUUUCCUACUUCUGAAUUCGUUUUGGGCAUGGGUCGAAUUCAGGCUGAUGCUUAGGAUCGGGUUUAGUUUUAGUUUUUUUUUUAAUUGUAAUUGGGCUGUGUAAAUGGACAUUUAGGCUAAACUUAAAUAUUUUGUUUUUCUUUUCUUUUUUAUUUGGUUUAGCAAAAUGGGCCAGGCAAAUUGGCCUAUUACAUAAACUAUUUUAUCUAAUUCGACCUCUAAACUAUUUUAUCUAAUUCGAAGAGGUCGCCAAAUCCAGUGGGAGAAUUAGUUUGCGUAUAGGUAUGAAAUCG